GAGACAGCAGUCGCCGCGGGAAUACGUAGGGUGCGAGCGUUAAUCGGAAUUACUGGGCGUAAAGCGUGCGCAGGCGGUUUUGUAAGACAGGCGUGAAAUCCCCGGGCUCAACCUGGGAAUGGCGCUUGUGACUGCAAAGCUAGAGUGCGGCAGAGGGGGACGGAAUUCCGCGUGUAGCAGUGAAAUGCGUAGAUAUGCGGAGGAACACCGAUGGCGAAGGCAAUCCCCUGGGCCUGCACUGACGCUCAUGCACGAAAGCGUGGGGAGCAAACAGGAUUAGAUACCCCUGUAGUCCCUGUCUCUUAUAC
RNAcentral lists this ribosomal RNA (308 nucleotides) under uncultured bacterium. RNAcentral's name for it is "partial 16S ribosomal RNA". It matches the Rfam family "Bacterial small subunit ribosomal RNA", at positions 505 to 807 of the family's 1533-position model. The record is from RNAcentral.